GUGCUGCCAUUUAAAGACAACUCCUUCUCCGGCUGGCAUUUAAAGACCCAACUCCUCCUCCUCUUUCUUCCACUCUAGUUUUAAAAGCUCAUACCUUCUCCUCCUCACCCCUCACCCCUCACCCCUCACCCUUCUCUCUCUAGUCUCUCUAAAUCUGCAGAGAAAAUGGGUGAUUUGAGGUCUAAGUUCUUGGGCGUUUACUCUGUUUUGAAAUCUGAGCUUCUCAAUGAUCCGGCCUUCGAAUUCACGGACGUUUCUCGUCAAUGGGUCGAACGGAUGCUGGACUACACUGUGCCAGGAGGAAAGUUGAAUCGAGGUUUAUCCGUUGUUGACAGCUUAAAAUUACUCAAGGAUGGAAAGGACCUAACGGAUGAUGAAUUUUUUCAUUCAUCCGCACUUGGAUGGUGUAUUGAAUGGCUUCAAGCAUAUUUUCUUGUUCUUGAUGAUAUCAUGGAUGGCUCUCAUACACGUAGGGGUCAGCAGUGCUGGUUCAGACUACCAAAGAUUGGCAUGAUUGCUGUGAAUGAUGGCAUACUACUUCGCAACCAUAUCCCACGAGUUCUCAAAAGCACUUUAGGGGAAAGCCCUACUAUGUGGAUCUGCUGGAUUUAUUUAAUGAGGUGGAGUUUCAAACAGCUCAUGGACAAUUGAUAGAUUUAAUUACCACUCAUGAAGGAGAGAAAGAUCUAUCAAAGUACUCAUUGUCGCUUCACCGCCGCAUUGUUCAGUACAAGACCGCUUAUUACUCUUUUUACCUUCCAGUAGCAUGCGCGUUGCUAAUGGCAGGCGAAGAUCUUGAACGCCAUGCUGAUGUGAAGACUAUUCUUAUUGAAAUGGGAACUUAUUUUCAAGUACAGGAUGAUUAUUUGGAUUGUUUUGGUGAGCCCGAAGUGAUAGGAAAGGUUGGGACUGAUAUUCAAGACUUCAAGUGCUCUUGGUUGGUUGUGAAAGCUUUAGAAAUUGCUAGUGAGGAACAAAAGAAACUAUUACACGAGAAUUAUGGGAAAGAUGACGAAACAUGUAUUGCAAAAGUAAAAGAACUAUACAAAGUCCUUGAUCUUGAGGGUGUGUUUCUGGAGUAUGAGAGCAGCAGUUACCAGAAACUUACAAAAUUGAUUGAAUCUCAUUCAAGUAAAGCAGUACAGGCAGUGCUGAAAUCAUUCUUGGCAAAGAUAUACAAGAGGCAGAAGUAAGCAAAGAAGGAAGCAGAUACCGAAUGCUUAGCAACGGCAAUGUUACUGCCUCAUUUUCUAAUAAUUGACUACGACAAGGGACAGUAGAAAAAGCAAAACACGUUUGUAUCCCUUCUCUUCUGGUUUUCCUGCUUCGGAUUUCCGGUGAAAAACUCCCCUGCUGAAUCUGUUAGGCCAAACUAUGUCAAUUUUGGUGACUUUCAUUAAUUGUAUUUUUAUGUUGUAAGAUUUCGGCUUUUUGGCCUUGGAGAAAUUAGACUCAUAAGUUGAUUUAUUUGCCGUUAUCGGAAAAAAAGGACUCAAAGAUGCUGUGUUGUAUUGUAUUCAGAGGUCAAUUUUGUUCCUUGUGACUC
Malus domestica (apple) is the source of this 1546-nucleotide non-coding RNA. The record is from RefSeq and is a predicted model, not a curated record. Lineage: Eukaryota; Viridiplantae; Streptophyta; Magnoliopsida; Rosales; Rosaceae.